CUUUUAUAAAUUCCAAUAUGUAAGAGUAUUUAUUUAAAACAGAUGGAUCAAGAGAUAAGGCCCAUGUUCAAAUUAGUUUAUGAUUUAGUGUUAGGAAUAUUACAUAAAUUAAGAGAAGUGUCAGAGUGAAUAAAUGUGUUAAAGUAAGACGUGAGGUAACCACAGAAUAAAAAAAUGGUUAUUGCACUCCAGGUACCUAUUCAUUUGGUGCUAUGUGAAGUUUGAAAGAACAAGAGUGGUGCUUUCAACUGCCUGCAAGUGUCAAGGCAAGCUUACAAACACUCAUGUAAAUUGAUGGGACCAAUGCCACAUUCAAAUCUAGACCACAGAUACAAUGGCACCUUCUGUAAAUAUUGUUUUUACAGGUGGGGUACAAUAUCCUUUUUUAAAAUCCAGUUUAAUUAGCAGGCAGAUGGUGGCCAAUUCUAAUAUAAUCAAUAAUUACAAAAGUCUGCAGUUUAUGAUGGACUCAAUUUUGAAAAAGUUAACUCAUGGAAACAUCCCAAUUAAAAUAAAAACAUUUAAAACUUAACCUAUUAAGGACACAGUUUCAGAAGCUUGUCUUACCCUUAAGGACAAGUAUUUUUAUUAAAUUUUUUUGCUGCUUGUGUUCAACCGCAAUCUGCAUCUUUCUCAUUUAUUGCACCAACGCAUAUUUACAUAUUUGGGGUUUUGUUUUUUUUAGAUGACAGAGGCUUGAAAUUCGAUGUCACAUAUAAAUUCUCAUUAAUUAUAAAAGAAACAAAAAAAACCUUUUCUUUCCACAGCUUAUGCAAUACUGUGUGCAUGAUAUGUCCAGUUUAGGAAAAGUAAUUCAAAAUAAACUCAUUUAUGUGCCUAGAUUUAUAGACUACAUAAUGUGUAUUGGAUUUCAUCUUAUUUUGAAAAUUACAGGUCAGAAAAUACAAGGACAAAAAUAAAAUUUCAAUGGGAAACCAUUUUAGAAGUUGGCAUGUUUGUAGUGUAAGUUUAGUAGCAUCACAAAAAACAAAAUUGCCAUAUUUUAUAAAUAUAAAGUAGACAUCACAGGCUAUUUACCCGUGGUUAUUUUGACACUUUUUACUUGGCCAUUUCAUCGCCAACAUCUGCUAAAUAUUGGAGUAAAAUUGUUUUGUCCCCCCUUCUAUUUUGGAUAUAUACACAUAUAACAAGGUUUUUGUAAUGUGUAUUUUGUAAAGCUGGCGUAUGCUAUCCCUGUACACAUAUUGUGGUCAGCUACAUCUGCUGAGUACAAUGAUACACCAUUGUAUGCCUUUUAGUGCUGCAAUGCCAUAUAAGAGACAAAACUAUUUCAGUUUCUCUAGUUAUAAUUUUCAUAGAUGGAUUUGAUGGGUCUAUGUCUCAAUUUGGGGUAUUAUAGCAGUUUGACUGUUCAAAUAACCCAACAAAGGGUUUCCAUUUGAGAAAGCAGACACUCCAGGGUAUUUUAUAUGGCGUAUGUUGUGCCUUAACUUGUCACCAUUUUUUUUCACCAGUGUAUGUCAAUGUUUGUGGUGAGGGGGGAAAAUUUUUUACAUAUAUGUUUUGGUUUGGUAUUU
Molecule: non-coding RNA, 1538 nt
Organism: Pelobates cultripes (western spadefoot toad)
Lineage: Eukaryota; Metazoa; Chordata; Amphibia; Anura; Pelobatidae
Source: the annotation of a GenBank genome assembly